Molecule: non-coding RNA, 31 nt
Filed under: Homo sapiens (human)
Lineage: Eukaryota; Metazoa; Chordata; Mammalia; Primates; Hominidae
Source: RNAcentral
CCUAUCCAGAAAUCCAGUUCGUUGGAAAGGA